AGCGGAUGACAUAGUAU
Molecule: small RNA, 17 nt
Filed under: Arabidopsis thaliana (thale cress)
Lineage: Eukaryota; Viridiplantae; Streptophyta; Magnoliopsida; Brassicales; Brassicaceae
Description: ATSL297080
Source: RNAcentral